This 586-nucleotide ribosomal RNA is filed under the name uncultured bacterium. RNAcentral's name for it is "bacterial SSU rRNA". It matches the Rfam family "Bacterial small subunit ribosomal RNA", at positions 338 to 915 of the family's 1533-position model. The record is from RNAcentral.
CCUACGGGAGGCAGCAGUGGGGAAUUUUGGACAAUGGGCGAAAGCCUGAUCCAGCCAUGCCGCGUGCAGGAUGAAGGCCUUCGGGUUGUAAACUGCUUUUGUACGGAACGAAAAGGUCUUUUCUAAUAAAGAAGGCUCAUGACGGUACCGUAAGAAUAAGCACCGGCUAACUACGUGCCAGCAGCCGCGGUAAUACGUAGGGUGCGAGCGUUAAUCGGAAUUACUGGGCGUAAAGCGUGCGCAGGCGGUUAUAUAAGACAGUUGUGAAAUUCCCGGGCUCAACCUGGGAACUGCAUCUGUGACUGUAUAGCUAGAGUACGGUAGAGGGGGAUGGAAUUCCGCGUGUAGCAGUGAAAUGCGUAGAUAUGCGGAGGAACACCGAUGGCGAAGGCAAUCCCCUGGACCUGUACUGACGCUCAUGCACGAAAGCGUGGGGAGCAAACAGGAUUAGAUACCCUGGUAGUCCACGCCCUAAACGAUGUCAACUGGUUGUUGGGUCUUCACUGACUCAGUAACGAAGCUAACGCGUGAAGUUGACCGCCUGGGGAGUAACGGCCGCAAGGUUGAAACUUCAAAGGAAUUGAGG